CCACUGCUGAGGAGUCCCACAAUAGGACGAAAAGGCCGUCCAAUGC
RNAcentral lists this non-coding RNA (46 nucleotides) under Schistosoma curassoni. The record is from RNAcentral. Lineage: Eukaryota; Metazoa; Platyhelminthes; Trematoda; Strigeidida; Schistosomatidae.